Molecule: non-coding RNA, 4067 nt
Organism: Microcebus murinus (gray mouse lemur)
Lineage: Eukaryota; Metazoa; Chordata; Mammalia; Primates; Cheirogaleidae
Source: RefSeq, a predicted model, not a curated record
CGGCCUAGGCGGGGGUGGGGCAGACCCCUGUCCUGCCCUCGACCCCCCAAAGCUGCUGGCAGGCGCGGGGCGCCGGGCCGGUGGGUGUGCAUGCUCGUAUCCGUGCGUGCAUUCAUUCACUCUGGUGUCCAGCACUUACUGAGCGCGUGCCGCGUGCCAGGUGGGGAUGCGCGGAUGCAACGGGACGCGUUUCCCAGAGGCCGCGGUCACAUCAACCGGACCGAGUGGGAGCUUCCGGGCCCGCCGGCCGCCCGGGCGUGGGUGUCGGGGGUGGCUGCCAAACCCCGGCUCACCUCGGAGCUGGCGGCCCGCUCCGUUACUCGCCACUGCAUUGACCUGUGUGUGAAAAUUUGCUCGCCGGUUUUGUUGACUGUGGUAGCCCUAAUCGUUCCCGGCACGUAGUAGGCCUCAAAUGUGUGGUGCACGAACCAAGCAUAGGCCCCCGUUCUCCGCCCACCGGGUCCGGACGGCUCGUCCCGAAGGCCGGGAGAGUGGCGCUCUGGGCGGGCGGCGCGGGCUGUGCACAGUGAGCGCUGUGGUCCAGUCCCGGAGGAGGACCCCUCUUGGAACGCCCCAGAGGGGCCUGUGGGGCCAAACCCGCUCUGCCAGACAGAGCUUGGAAAGGCAGAGGAAGAGGAAGCAGGGGUCCCACGACGGGGAGAUGCUCUGAGCUUGGAAGCUCAGUCCAGACUCAUGCCCAGACUGCCCUCUUCCUCGGAACAUUCGAGAAAAUGGAGUUUCUCUCCCAGCUGCCCAGUGCUGGCCUGCUGUGGGCUCCCCUGGCUUUGCUGCGGAUCACCUCACCUCCCAGAACUUUGGGGUAUGAGGUGCCACCGCUAUGCCGGGCGUCUGAAGGAAGGCGCGGGGUGGGCGGGCGGAGCACUCUCUGUCACUGCCCAGCGCACACCGGGGGAAAGCCGCCCUCACACCGGCGUGUGUGUAGCCCACUGAACAAGGAUUUGAAGAUAUCGCAAGGGUCUCACCAGGCGGAAAGAGAAAACCUAAAGUGCAGCACCUCACCUCAAGAUUUCUACAGGCCACAGCGCCUCCUGAUGCAGACACUAAGGCACAACAGAGAUCGAGCAACUUAUGCAAAGUGUCACUCAGCCAACACACCCCAUCGAGCAUACAGGAGGCUCUGCCUCUUGGAAUAAAAAUCAGACAUCCCACGGGAACUUCUGAGGUUGUCCUGUCGCUGCUAGAUGUAUGCAAGGAACAAGUCAUCUUCGUAACUCCGCAGCACGGCAAACAGCUCGGCACCUCCUCCAUAGACGACGUUCAGUGACUAAAUGACUGACUUCGCCUGUAACCCUCCUGACUUCCUCAGUCUCCCCCAAGUCUUCACCUCCAAGCUGUGCUUGUCCUUGUUAGCGCAACCUCAUGGGACUAACAUCUCCCCACCCCCAAACUUUAGCCUACCAGUGGGGAAUCUGGGAAUUCAGAAAUGCAGCUUAUCACUCAGUGGCUGAUCCUGGACCAAACCAAGCACCGUUUCUCCCUGACGGAGACAUGGGAUGGAAGCAUGGAGCCGUGGCACAGGGAGGUUGGAAGGGCUAUCCACCGAGCACUUGCUAAGACCUGCUGUGUGUACAAUGUACUAAUAAGGUGAAGAUCCCAAGGCAGGUCAGGCUUUAUGGCAUUUGGGUGAUUAUAAUGGGAUUGAAGAGGUAAACCCCAAACACAUGCAAGGAACAUCAGUGUGGCCCUAUGUUCAUGCCUACCUAAUACAUAAAAGGGACAUCAGUGUGACCCCAUGUCCAUGCCUACCUAAUACAUAAAAGGGACAUCAGUGUGCCCCCAUGUCCAUGCCCACUUAACGCAUAAAAUGGACAUCAAUGUGGCCCCAUGUCCAUGCCCACCUAAUGCAUAAAAGGGACAUCAGUGUGGCCCCAUGCCCACCUGAGAUGCACAUGGAUGAAGUUAGCUACCAAAAUUCCAGAUGCUUAACACAACAGACAUGGAGAAGGAGAAGAGGAGCUCACAGCAGAAGAGAAAGCUGAAAAGAUGUGCAAAGAAUGGCCAGAAAGAUAUGGAUAUGUUGAAGUGGUUAGUGAGCAGACACCACGAGGGAGGUGGUGCAGAAGUUUGUAGAGGAGCAAUCAAGCCCCUGACCAGGAGGGAAUCAGUGGGCUCCUGUUGGGGAAGGGGUGGCCUGUGCCUGAGUCCUAAAGCUUUGUCGGUGUUGGCAAGAGCCACAGCCCAGGCCCCAUACGCCCCAGGUACCUGAUUAUUUCUGGAUCCCCAGGAAAAGUCCAUGUCUCCUGUUUCAUUUUCACCACACACCCCCACCUGGGAAGGAGCCUGAGAUGCUGUAUUCAGAGUGACCAGCAGUGAUGUCGUCAGGGUGGGGACUGGCUGCCCACUGAGGUGAGGCCCCUAGGCAGACUUUCUGUGGUGUUUGAUUUCUUACCCCACUCCCCAAAGCCACAAUUUCAAAAACUGAACAUUAUUUCGUAACUCUAGGUCUUCCCGAUGACAGGACUAUUCACCUCUCUAAUCAGGGCUCCCCUCCUCACAUCGGGACAGGCAGGAGAGCCCGUGGUGAGCUGACGUGGGGCCAGAGGUGGCUGUGCAGACUCUGGAGCACUCACCCCGGCAGGGCCAGAGCCCCCGGCCUCCGCCUGGCCCACAGCAGGCCCCAUCCCGGGGUCACUCAGGUCCUCCUAGGAUGGAGCAACACAAAGUCACCAUACCUUCCCCCUUCGUAUAUGUUUCUAGCCAACCACAACUUUCCAUAGAUCACAGUUCCCAGUGGUCAUAUUUAGUCCAGAAGAUGCCCCAUCAUCUUGAUUAAAUGUAGGCUCGUGCUAGGUCUCCUUCAGCAGCACAGGUGCGGAGGGCCCCAACUGCCAAAUUCUCAGAGGGCGAGCUUACCUCCAAAUUACUGUAGCUCCCUGGGUACCAGAGGAUCCCAGAUGCAAUCUGGGGAAGUGGUUCUCACUUCUCCAUCCACCCUCCCUCCAGGAGGCCAAGGACUUCAGGCUUCAGAAGUCCUGCUGAAGUGGCCAGAGAAGGGGGCUGGAAGGGGAGUAAGGAGGCCUUUAGCCAUGGGGCAGGCCUGCUAGUAACCGAGCCACUCUGCGAGAGUGAUGCAGGAGCGACAGGCAGCAAGAGCCCGGGCCCAGCUUUGAGGUCAGAGAUACGACGUGGCCAGAGCAGGUCCAGGGUGCAUAGCUGAGUGCAAGCUAAGAGGCCUUCAAAUCCCAUCUGUUGCUGUAAAGUCCCAAUGAAUGCAGCUUCCCAGAGACUCGGGGCUUACUGCAAAAAGAAAUUUGUGUGUUCUGGGCCCUCAGAAAAAUAAAAGUAAAUUAAAUUGUAUCACCCAGUGCUCCUCCAAAGGAGAAAGGGCGGUGAGCUCGGGUGCAGUGCUCUGCUCUUUCCCACCAGGCUGGAUCAGAGAGGCUUGCCUAGAGCAGACGCCGCUUCUCCCUGGCCUGAGGGCCUGUGGAGGAAAGUCGGUGCCCACGUGCUGGGCUGCCUCAGCCCCACAGGCCUCCUCCUAAGCUGUGCAUGGGGGUGAAGGUGUUGGUCUAGGAGGCUCCCCUUCCUGGAUGGGACCUAGAGAGCAGGUGACCCAGGUGAAGUAGGGCAGAAGGGAGGGUGCAGGGCAGGUGCUGGUGGGGAGCCAACCAGCGAGUGCCCCUGUGACAGAAGACAGUGGAUGCAGAGGGCCUGGGGGAGAAAGAAAACCUGGAGGGCUGAGAAAGGAUGGAGGGCGGCCCUGAGCACAGUGCACAGAACCAAUUCUAAGCGUGGCUAUAAAGCCCUUCUGCUCUUGGCCUGCUGCCUGCACCCCUUCCCCUCCCUCCCCGCCCAGCUCCUGGGCUCCUUGUCCUCAGGCACAGCACCGGCUCUGGCACUGUAGCCAGGUAGGGGGCACCUGACUAUGGGCGGCCCUGCUCGUGCUCCUUCUCUAUCGGCCUUGCUCCUGCUGUACUUGUGCAAGAGCCUGGCCAGGCUCCCUGCAUGGGGCUCCCACCUUCCUCACUCUUUAAAACUUGCAAAGGAAUUGAUUUGCCCAUAAAAUAUAAUGGUAUUUGUCUCUUAAGCUAAUAUUUUAUGGGAAU